Molecule: non-coding RNA, 30 nt
Filed under: Homo sapiens (human)
Lineage: Eukaryota; Metazoa; Chordata; Mammalia; Primates; Hominidae
Source: RNAcentral
GCCUUUUCCUUCGCUUACAACGCUCCAUGC